CCUACGGGUGGCAGCAGUGAGGAAUAUUGGGCAAUGGAGGCAACUCUGACCCAGCCAUGCCGCGUGAGUGAAGAAGGUUUUCGGAUUGUAAAGCUCUUUCGGAAGUGACGAUGAUGACGGUAGCAUCUAAAGAAGCCACGGCUCACUCAGUGCCAGCAGCCGCGGUACUACGCAGGGGGCAAGCGAUGUUCGGAAUUACUGGGCGUAAAGGGAGUGUAGGCGGUUUAGUAAGAUAGUUGUGAAAUCCCAGAGCUUAACUUUGGAAUUGUCAUUAUAACUAUUAGACUAGAAUUACAGAGAGGAUAGUGGAAUACCCAGUGUAGAGGUGAAAUUCGUAGAUAUUGGGUAGAACACCAGUGGCGAAGGCGGCUAUCUGGCUGUACAUUGACGCUGAGGCUCGAAAGCAUGGGGAUCAAACAGGAUUAGAUACCCUAGUAGUC
This 440-nucleotide ribosomal RNA is filed under the name uncultured bacterium. Its description in RNAcentral is "partial 16S ribosomal RNA". It matches the Rfam family "Bacterial small subunit ribosomal RNA", at positions 338 to 795 of the family's 1533-position model. The record is from RNAcentral.